Molecule: non-coding RNA, 601 nt
Organism: Xyrichtys novacula (pearly razorfish)
Lineage: Eukaryota; Metazoa; Chordata; Actinopteri; Labriformes; Labridae
Source: the annotation of a GenBank genome assembly
UAUAACCGCUCCUGAUGAAUCGCUGUUUCUGUUUCUGUCAGGUAAGACUGUUUUCCUCGCAGUAAUCUCUCUCAUUCAUUCAGAUUCAUCCUCUUCAUUCAUUUGUUUGUGGCUGUGGAAGUCUCAUUCAGACUCUCCAUUGAGCAAACAUGCCAUUCAGGAUUUUCUGUCUUUGUGUCUAUAAGAAGCUCAGAAACUGCAGAAGGGCUGCUGCAUAGAUACAAAAAGUGUGUGGGUGUUUGUGUGCGUGAUUUCUCGGGGGUUAAGUUGUCCCUUUUUCCAACCGUUUGAGUUUGUUUUUGGGGAAUGUUAUCCUUUUUAUUUGGACGGAUCAUUUCAGCCUCUCACACCUUUAAAAUGUCUCUGAUCUCAUGUCUUUUUCUUCCUUCGCUCGGUCUGCGAGCAGUCGGUUUACACCCCCCAACAACCUCCCAUGGGUGUUGCUAUGGAAACAGGCCUCUUCGGUCAGGUGGCUCCACGCUGAAUGCUCCCCAGUGCUCUGAUUUGCUCCGACAUAGUCUGGCUGAAUCACUUGGACACGUGAUGCUGGAUCAUCAAGUCUGUAUGCUGAAUAUGAAGCCCCCCACCCCCACCCCCUUUA